GACGAACGCUGGCGGCGUGCCUAACACAUGCAAGUCGAGCGGGGAGGGCCUUCGGGUUCUUCCAGCGGCGGACGGGUGAGUAACGCGUGAGCAACCUUUCCUUCACAGGGGGAUAACGCAGCGAAAGCUGUGCUAAUACCGCAUAAGACCACAAUGUCACAUGGCAAAGGGGUCAAAGGAGCAAUCCGGUGAAGGGUGGGCUCGCGUCUGAUUAGCUAGUUGGCGGGGUAACGCCCACCAAGGUGACGAUCAGUAGCCGACCUGAGAGGGUGAUCGGCCACACUGGGACUGAGACACGGCCCAGACUCCUACGGGAGGCAGCAGUGGGGAAUAUUGGGCAAUGGGCGAAAGCCUGACCAAGCAACGCCGCGUGAGGGAAGAAGGUUUUCGGAUCGUAAACCUCUGUCCUUGGGGACGAAAGAAAUGACGGUACCCAAGGAGGAAGCCCCGGCUAACUACGUGCCAGCAGCCGCGGUAAAGUACAGUGU
This 488-nucleotide ribosomal RNA is filed under the name uncultured bacterium. RNAcentral's name for it is "bacterial SSU rRNA". It matches the Rfam family "Bacterial small subunit ribosomal RNA", at positions 28 to 533 of the family's 1533-position model. The record is from RNAcentral.